RNAcentral lists this ribosomal RNA (253 nucleotides) under uncultured bacterium. RNAcentral's name for it is "partial 16S ribosomal RNA". It matches the Rfam family "Bacterial small subunit ribosomal RNA", at positions 524 to 776 of the family's 1533-position model. The record is from RNAcentral. RNAcentral also lists the same sequence under 1 other name.
AACGUAGGGGGCGAGCGUUGUCCGGAAUUACUGGGCGUAAAGCGCGCGUAGGCGGCCUCUUAAGUCCGGUGUGAAAGCCCGCGGCUCAACCGCGGGAGGCCACUGGAAACUGGGAGGCUUGAGGGCAGGAGAGGGGAGUGGAAUUCCCGGUGUAGCGGUGAAAUGCGUAGAGAUCGGGAGGAACACCAGUGGCGAAGGCGGCUCCCUGGCCUGUACCUGACGCUGAGGCGCGAAAGCGUGGGGAGCAAACAGG